This 514-nucleotide ribosomal RNA is filed under the name uncultured bacterium. RNAcentral describes it as "bacterial SSU rRNA". It matches the Rfam family "Bacterial small subunit ribosomal RNA", at positions 330 to 861 of the family's 1533-position model. The record is from RNAcentral.
CCCGCCCGCCUACGGGAGGCAGCAGUGGGGAAUCUUGGACAAUGGGCGCAAGCCUGAUCCAGCCAUGCCGCGUGAGUGAUGAAGGCCUUAGGGUCGUAAAGCUCUUUCGCCAGAGAUGAUAAUGACAGUAUCUGGUAAAGAAACCCCGGCUAACUCCGUGCCAGCAGCCGCGGUAAUACGGAGGGGGUUAGCGUUGUUCGGAAUUACUGGGCGUAAAGCGCGCGUAGGCGGACCAGAAAGUAAGGGGUGAAAUCCCAGGGCUCAACCCUGGAACUGCCUCUUAAACUCCUGGUCUUGAGUUCGAGAGAGGUGAGUGGAAUUCCGAGUGUAGAGGUGAAAUUCGUAGAUAUUCGGAGGAAACACCAGUGGCGAAGGCGGCUCACUGGCUCGAUACUGACGCUGAGGUGCGAAAGUGUGGGGAGCAAACAGGAUUAGAUACCCUGGUAGUCCACACCGUAAACGAUGAAUGCCAGUCGUCGGGUAGCAUGCUAUUCGGUGACACACCUAACGGAUU